Molecule: small nuclear RNA, 107 nt
Organism: Vicugna pacos (alpaca)
Lineage: Eukaryota; Metazoa; Chordata; Mammalia; Artiodactyla; Camelidae
Source: RefSeq, a predicted model, not a curated record
GUGCUCGCUCCGGCAACACAUAUACUAAAAUUGGAACAAUACAGAAAAGAUCAGCACAGCCCCUGUGCAAGGAUGACUUUAUGUCAAAUAAAUGAAUAAAUAAAUAA